AACGAACGCUGGCGGCGUGCCUAAUACAUGCAAGUCGAACGCAGUGGGGACGGGUGAGUAACACGUGGGUAACCUCCCAUCAGAGGGGAUAACACUUCGAAACAGGUGCUAAACCCAUACUGAUGGAUGGAACCGCGGUGCAUUAGCUAGUUGGUGAGGUAACGGCUCACCAAGGCCACGAUGCAUAGCCGACCUGAGAGGGUGACCGGCAACACUGGGACGGAGACACGGCCCAGACUCCUACGGGAGGCAGCAGUAGGGAAUCUUCGGCAAUGGACGAAAGUCUGACAGAGCAAUGCCGCGUGAGUGAAGAAGGGUUUCGGAUCGUAAAACUCUGUUGGUAGAGAAGCGGUAUAUAACCAGAAAGCAACGGCUAACUACGUGCCAGCCGCCGCGGUAAUAC
RNAcentral lists this ribosomal RNA (403 nucleotides) under uncultured bacterium. Its description in RNAcentral is "partial 16S ribosomal RNA". It matches the Rfam family "Bacterial small subunit ribosomal RNA", at positions 29 to 526 of the family's 1533-position model. The record is from RNAcentral.